GGCACCCAAGCUGCCGUUAGUCUACACCGCGACUGGUCAAUGUAGGUUUGUGACACCUCCAGACAGCUGCUUGGUGCUAAACAUGAAACGUUUAGCCAGCAUAUUGUUGUUGUUCGUGCUGGUGGAGCUCCUGCAGGCGACGAGGAUCUUCGGGGAGUCAUACCAGAGUUACGACAACGACCAUCAUAACGAUAAUUCAGACCUGACGCUGUCAGCGGAGAACGAACUAUA
Long non-coding RNA from Homarus americanus (American lobster), 231 nucleotides. RefSeq lists it as uncharacterized. The record is from RefSeq and is a predicted model, not a curated record. NCBI's taxonomy places the organism in Eukaryota, Metazoa, Arthropoda, Malacostraca, Decapoda, Nephropidae. The transcript has 3 exons.